RNAcentral lists this ribosomal RNA (433 nucleotides) under uncultured bacterium. Its description in RNAcentral is "partial 16S ribosomal RNA". It matches the Rfam family "Bacterial small subunit ribosomal RNA", at positions 29 to 507 of the family's 1533-position model. The record is from RNAcentral.
AACGAACGCUGGCGGCAUGCCUAACACAUGCAAGUCGAACGAGACAUUCGGGUCUAGUGGCGCACGGGUGCGUAACGCGUGGGCACCUGCCCUUAGGGUCGGAAUAACUCCCCGUAAGGGGUGCUAAUACCGGAUAAUGUCUUCGGACCAAAGAUUUAUCGCCUUUGGAUGGGGCCGCGUUGGAUUAGCUAGUUGGUAGGGUAAAAGCCUACCAAGGCGACGAUCCAUAGCUGGUCUGAGAGGAUGAUCAGCCACACUGGGACUGAGACACGGCCCAGACUCCUACGGGAGGCAGCAGUGGGGAAUAUUGGACAAUGGGCGAAAGCCUGAUCCAGCAAUGCCGCGUGAGUGAUGAAGGCCUUAGGGUUGUAAAGCUCUUUUACCCGGGAUGAUAAUGACAGUACCGGGAGAAUAAGCGCCGGCUAACUCCGUG